UAUUAAAAAAUUAUUCAUUUUUAUUAUUAAAAACUAACGAGAUUGACAAAAUAACUCAAUAAUUACACGUGGUGUGUCAUGUAUAUCUCAUUCUAAUCUAUGGGAACUAGUUUUUAACAGUAUAAAUGGAUGAAAUUUUUAACA
RNAcentral lists this microRNA precursor (144 nucleotides) under Gossypium arboreum. Its description in RNAcentral is "MIR7502 microRNA precursor family". It matches the Rfam family "MIR7502 microRNA precursor family". The record is from Rfam by way of RNAcentral. Lineage: Eukaryota; Viridiplantae; Streptophyta; Magnoliopsida; Malvales; Malvaceae.